This 301-nucleotide ribosomal RNA is filed under the name uncultured bacterium. RNAcentral's name for it is "partial 16S ribosomal RNA". It matches the Rfam family "Bacterial small subunit ribosomal RNA", at positions 509 to 807 of the family's 1533-position model. The record is from RNAcentral.
CAGCAGCCGCGGUAAAACAGAGGGUGCGAGCGUUAAUUGGAUUUACUGGGCGUAAAGCGUGCGUAGGCGGCUUCUUAAGUCGGAUGUGAAAUCCCUGAGCUUAACUUAGGAAUUGCAUUCGAUACUGGGAAGCUAGAGUAUGGGAGAGGAUGGUAGAAUUCCAGGUGUAGCGGUGAAAUGCGUAGAGAUCUGGAGGAAUACCGAUGGCGAAGGCAGCCAUCUGGCCUAAUACUGACGCUGAGGUACGAAAGCAUGGGGAGCAAACAGGAUUAGAGACCCCGGUAGUCCCUGUCUCUUAUAC